Molecule: ribosomal RNA, 495 nt
Filed under: uncultured bacterium
Lineage: Bacteria
Description: partial 16S ribosomal RNA
Rfam family: Bacterial small subunit ribosomal RNA
Source: RNAcentral
GACGAACGCUGGCGGCGUGCCUAAUACAUGCAAGUAGAACGCUGAAGGAGGAGCUUGCUUCUCUGGAUGAGUUGCGAACGGGUGAGUAACGCGUAGGUAACCUGCCUGGUAGCGGGGGAUAACUAUUGGAAACGAUAGCUAAUACCGCAUAAUAGUAGAUGUUGCAUGACAUUUGCUUAAAAGGUGCAAUUGCAUCACUACCAGAUGGACCUGCGUUGUAUUAGCUAGUGGGUGGGGUAACGGCUCACCAAGGCGACGAUACAUAGCCGACCUGAGAGGGGGAUCGGCCACACUGGGACUGAGACACGGCCCAGACUCCUACGGGAGGCAGCAGUAGGGAAUCUUCGGCAAUGGACGGAAGUCUGACCGAGCAACGCCGCGUGAGUGAAGAAGGUUUUCGGAUCGUAAAGCUCUGUUGUAAGAGAAGAACGAGUGUGAGAGUGGAAAGUUCACACUGUGACGGUAUCUUACCAGAAAGGGACGGCUAACUACGUG